UACAGAGGUCCCAAGCGUUGUUCGGAUUCACUGGGCGUAAAGGGUGCGUAGGCGGUCGGGUAAGUCUGAUGUGAAAACCCGAGGCUCAACCUCGGGCCUGCAGUCGAUACGGGCAAACUAGAGUACUGCAGGGGAGACUGGAAUUCCUGGUGUAGCGGUGAAAUGCGCAGAUAUCAGGAGGAACACCGAUGGCGAAGGCAGUUCUCUGGGCCGUAACUGACGCUGAGGAGCGAAAGCGUGGGGAGCGAACAGG
RNAcentral lists this ribosomal RNA (253 nucleotides) under uncultured bacterium. RNAcentral describes it as "partial 16S ribosomal RNA". It matches the Rfam family "Bacterial small subunit ribosomal RNA", at positions 524 to 776 of the family's 1533-position model. The record is from RNAcentral.